GUCCUAGCCCUAAACGAUGAACACUGGGUGUGGCCCCCCAAAGGGCCGUGCCGGAGCUAACGCGUUAAGUGUUCCGCCUGGGGAGUACGUUCGCAAGGCUGAAACUCAAAGGAAUUGACGGGGGCCCGCACAAGCGGUGGAGCAUGUGGUUCAAUUCGACGCAACGCGAAGAACCUUACCUGGACUCGAAAUGCAGUUGCCGCCUUCAGAGAUGGAGGCUUCCCGCAAGGGACGGCUGUAUAGGUGCUGCAUGGCUGUCGU
This 261-nucleotide ribosomal RNA is filed under the name uncultured bacterium. RNAcentral's name for it is "partial 16S ribosomal RNA". It matches the Rfam family "Bacterial small subunit ribosomal RNA", at positions 793 to 1055 of the family's 1533-position model. The record is from RNAcentral.